This 72-nucleotide transfer RNA is filed under the name archaeon CG2_30_31_98. Its description in RNAcentral is "tRNA-Arg". It matches the Rfam family "tRNA". From Rfam's summary of the family: Transfer RNA (tRNA) molecules are approximately 80 nucleotides in length. Their secondary structure includes four short double-helical elements and three loops (D, anti-codon, and T loops). The record is from RNAcentral. RNAcentral also lists the same sequence under 2 other names.
GCUCGCGUGGGGUAAUGGAUAACCUGGGAGCUUGCGGAGCUUCUGAUCCGGGUUCAAAUCCCGGCGUGAGCA